UUUUAGUGGCGGACGGGUGAGUAACGCGUGGGUAACCUGCCUCACACUGGGGGAUAACACUUAGAAAUAGGUGCUAAUACCGCAUAAGCGCACGGGACUGCAUGGUCUUGUGUGAAAAACUCCGGUGGUGUGAGAUGGACCCGCGUCUGAUUAGCUGGUUGGCGGGGUAACGGCCCACCAAGGCGACGAUCAGUAGCCGGCCUGAGAGGGUGGACGGCCACAUUGGGACUGAGACACGGCCCAGACUCCUACGGAAGGCAGCAG
Molecule: ribosomal RNA, 264 nt
Filed under: uncultured bacterium
Lineage: Bacteria
Description: partial 16S ribosomal RNA
Rfam family: Bacterial small subunit ribosomal RNA
Source: RNAcentral